RNAcentral lists this transfer RNA (68 nucleotides) under Gessius rufidorsus. Its description in RNAcentral is "Gessius sp. 'rufidorsus' tRNA-Ser". Lineage: Eukaryota; Metazoa; Arthropoda; Insecta; Hemiptera; Cicadellidae. The record is from RNAcentral.
AGUUAUUUAGCUUAUAAUUUAUAAAGUAUAUAUUUUGAAAAUAUAAGAAAGACUUAAAUUAAUAACUU